GAUCAUUGUCGAAACCUGCCCUGCAGAACGACCCGCGAACACGUUUACAACAUCAACGGGGGAGCGGGGGGGCUUUUGCUCCCCCCAUCCACCGAUGCUCAUGGGACGGAUGGCGGGCUUCGCCCAAACCAUCCCCUCAGAGGCAGAAUAACCAACCCCGGCGCAGGUAGCGCCAAGGAAUAUGAAAUGAAAAGAGCACGCUGCCACAGUCCCUGGAAACGGUGAGACUUGGGCAUGCGUCGUACUCUUUUAAAAAUCAAAACGACUCUCGGCAACGGAUAUCUCGGCUCUCGCAUCGAUGAAGAACGCAGCAAAAUGCGAUACUUGGUGUGAAUUGCAGAAUCCCGUGAAUCAUCGAGUUUUUGAACGCAAGUUGCGCCCGAAGCCCUCGGGCCAAGGGCACGUCUGCCUGGGUGUCACGCAACCAUUGCUCCCAACCCUCUUGAAACAUCAAGGGGCAAGGGGGCGGAUGUUGGCCUCCCGUGCGCCGCGAGGCAUGCGGUUGGCCCAAAAGCAGAGUUCCCGGCUACGGUCGCCACGAAAUUCGGUGGUUGUAAGACCCUCUGACACAGUCGUGAACGAUCGUAUGCCAUAAGGGACCCCCGAGACCCUGAUGCAGGCCUUGAAGGCGUGCUCCAAUCGCGACCCCAGGUCAGGCGGGAUUACCCGCUGAGUUUA
This 678-nucleotide ribosomal RNA is filed under the name Macaranga trigonostemonoides. RNAcentral's name for it is "eukaryotic LSU rRNA". The stretch from base 264 to 419 matches the Rfam family "5.8S ribosomal RNA". Lineage: Eukaryota; Viridiplantae; Streptophyta; Magnoliopsida; Malpighiales; Euphorbiaceae. The record is from RNAcentral.